AUGUUUACAGAGCAGCUUUUCAAUGGUGCCCCAAAAUAGUUACUACCUACAAAGUAACAAUUGCAUUGUAUUUGCCUUAUGUAAGCUUUUUCUUUUUCUUCUUGGCAGCAAACCAUUAGUCCUCAACAACUUUCAAUGAAAUGAUGACAAGUGGAUUAAAAAGUAUUGUUUACAUUGCUUCAAAGAAAUUAAAACUCCCGGCAAUUAAGCUUUUUUUUUUUUUUUAAGGUAAAACUGUCUUCUUGAAUGGUUACACAAUUUACCCAUAUGAGUUUUCUACCUUCCUGCUGAUCAGGAAGCUGACACAGCAGAAUUGACAACACGGAUCAUUUGUUAGAGCAGGGAUGGAGGAGGGAGAGAGACAGAAAAGGGUUCAGACUUAGAUUGUUCUGUGUACAGUCCGAACCCAAUAAUGGUAAUACACUGCAAUGCACAGUUUUAGAUACAGAGAAAUAAGAGCAUAGAGAAAUUAUGCAGACAGAUGGAGGUGCUAAGAGUCACACUGAUGGCUCACUGGAGAGAAAUUUCCUUCUCGCAAGGCAGUCAGUUUGUACACACAUGCAAAAAUAUCUUAGUAAUCCAUCGCCCUUCACAAACACCCUUCUUAAAAAACAAAUAACAAAAUGGACUUCUUUAGUGGCUCCCUAAUUGUGGCUCCAUCCCUGCUCUAGAAAAAAUUUCUGCGUUUUCAACCAUAGGAUGAAUUCUGGCAUCAUGCAAAUAUUUUGGUGAGUCAUAAUGUGGGUAAAUUUAUUACAAAUUCUAUAAAGAAAUCUAAUUGCACUUAUACUACCUUGUCAUGAGGAGACAAUGCAAUGCUUGCUCACAUAAACGUUCUCUGCUGCUCACUUUCAUUUGCUUUUCGCAUAUCGCAGUAUCCGUAAAUGAAUCUCAUUUCUCAUUUGGGGUAGCUAGUGCCGGUACUAGGAAUACGAUUUGCCUAAUAGACGAUCUGUAAGAUCUUUGGGUGUACUUCCCAGUCUUUGACUAAAAGCAAGGCAAACAGUUGCCUGACUUCUUGAAGACUGGCCUUAGACUGCAGCAGCAAUCUGUAUGUUUAAAAAUGCAAGAGUAAACAUGUUGAUGCAAAGCCAGUCCUCAUCUCCAUAGGCCUUGCAUGCAUGCUUAGACUUAGAGGACCUAAGUGACACGUAACCUUUUGAAACAGGCAAUACUGAUUAUUUGCAUGUUGUGGCAAAGAUACUUCUAAUCAGGCAAAUGGAGGGAAAGGGAAGUAGAGGGCUGUCUAGCUGCAGCAGCAACAAAGGUAUUUAAGCCUGUAUAACCAGCUUUGCAGUCAGUUGGGUUUAUUGCUUGUUUGUUCUUUGCAGCUCUUAGGAGGGAAGAGGUGUGGGUUUGUUUCCGUAGUGAAAAGCCACAGCUUCUCCAUGGAAAGCUUUAUGACUCCUUUUUCAGCCUCUCUUCACCACACCCUCCCUUGAAUUGAUGAAGGUGGAAUAAUGCACACACAUAAAAGCAAGUUGCGUACAUGUUAAUACAUCGCGUGAACAGAGGCUUAUGCACACACAGCAUUAAUAGAUUUUAGGACCUUCCUAAAACAUUAAUUACUAGCAGGCUUGUGUCUGGCAUUGCUUGGAAAUCCUAAGAAAAAAAGAAAAAUCAGUACAAUUUUUAAAGGAUUCAGUCCACCAUCUUGAUUCAACAUGGAAUCCAGUUGUAUCCAAAUAGGUUAAAAACCCUGCUCCUUGAUCUCAGGAACCACCACGUAAAAAAGUGAUUAUGAUAUCUUAAGAGGUGUCCAAAUGGGACUUCCGGGUUGGCGCCAUCGAUAAUGGCGGAUUCCCUCUGAGUCUCUGAGGGACCAGCUCCGCGGGAUCGGGUCUGACCGCUGCGGCGAAGCGGGGACCCUUUCAAAAUCACAGGUGGGUGAAGCCUGUGAACGUGGGGACUCGGCGGGCACCUUUUGCACCCCCCCAAACUGCGAAGGGACCCCUUUAGGGGUUCCGGAGCGAGACGGGGUGAGCGGCGCGGUGCUGAGAGUCGACUGCUUUUUCUGCGGAGUGAAGCCGCACAGCCGUUAUCGGAGAGCGCUGACUUCUUCCUGGGACAAUUCGACCUCUAAAGUAACUACCCGUGAGUAGGAUAAAAUUGGAUUUAAAGGGGAAAAUAAUUUAAUUCGGCACCGAAGCGGGAAGGCAUAAACAGGAAGUCCGCCUUCCUUUCUUGUAAAUAGAUCAAAGCAAAGAGACUGUAAGCAGAAACCUUGAAAGACGCUUGAAAAAAGACUUAAAUCCUAACAUCAGAAAAGCGAUCUCCCCUCCGGAUUGCAGGAGAGGAGGGGGGAAAGGUUUGAACUGUAUCUACCUGCAAAAAAAGAGGGAAAGGAAGCUAAAAUCCACCGCUUAGAGCCUGGGAACGGACUGCCCUGAGACAAGGAAUGCCGCUCUGUGAAAAGCACUAUCGGUAAACAGAGUACCUUUGACAGCUAACUCUGCAAGAGAGAUACAGUGUUUCUGGACUUCUCCUGGCUUUAAAGUAACUGAUUAAGUGCAAUUGAAGUGGUUUUCAGCUGUAAUACUAUAAGGGAAUAUGAAAAAUGGAUUAUUAAUAGGUAAAAAUUUAACGUCACAAUAUUUUAAGAUUAAAGAUUAGGAUAAACAAAGAGGGUAAGGAUUUGCUGAACCAACAAACUGAACUGGAAUACAAAAAAGGGAGGCGUGAGGAGGUCCGGGAAAUAAGCUAAUGAAAAAUAAGUAAUAGAAAGAUUGAGUUGUUUUUAGCCAUUUUUAUUUUUGUACCUUUUUCUUUUUUUGUUUUUGUUUUGUAACAUUUUGAAAAUCUUAAUAAAUAUCUUUAAAAAUAAAUAAAUAAGAGGUGUCCAAAUGCAUAGUGGACCAGUGAAAAAUUUCCCAGAAUAGAUACUAGAUAUAGCUGAAUUAAAAGCUUUGAAUUGAUCUUACUCCCAUCUUCUUAGAGUAGAGUUCCCCUAAUACCUAUAUACACAAUGUUUUUACCAGCAAUAACAACAAAAGAGAGAACGGAGCCAUAGUAUCUCUUCCAUAUGACAAUCUUCUGUGAAUGGUAUAGUAUGCUUAUGCAUAUAAAUCAUUGUGGGAAGUCACGUUUCUUAUCAUCAUCUGAACAUUUGGGAUUGGUUUCUAUCUAUCUCAAUAGACAAUGGAGUGUGCCUCCAUGGGUGAAGUCAAACUGUUGCGUUAGCAGCACUGAAGUGAUCUCUCCAGGGCGCAAGCCUGGGCGGUGUGUAUGAGGUCCUGGGCUGUCCAGAUGACAAGACCCCACCUCUUGGCCUCACUGAUGUGGCCCAAAGGAAAGCAAAGCAAUGUGUUGGGAACCAGCUUGGCUACAGGAGUUGCUAGAAGGAAGUGUUCAAGGCGCCAUCCAACCAUCUUAGGGACUCUGGAUUUGUGUAGGGUUUACUCCUUAGCCAUUUCUUCUCCCACAGAUAUCCCACUAGGCAGCGGAGGUUUAGGAUUAGAGUUUUCCUUCUCCUCCUAGCUACCUUCAGAGGUGGUUAAACCCCAUUUGCCACUCACUCCGCUCUACAAUACAGCAAUCAUCUUCCUGACCAGUGGACCCACUAUUGGUUUUGUCCGCUCAAGCUGUUGGAGACUGUCUUCACAUGCAGGGGAAGUCCCAUACUCACUGAGGGUUUGAGACCCACUGGCUAUCCUCACCUGGUUUAGCCGGCCAGGUGAAGCUCUUCCCAGGGUGUGGCUACUGUCCUAUGCUAACAGCUUCUAGGAGCCACAGGUGAGAGCUGAGUGCAGAGUUGGGACCGAGGGAGGACAAACUACCCCAGAAAGAGCACAUCAUGUCCACUACCAGAAGUACUACUCCACUCCUAUCACCCCAUGCACCCCAUCAUCUGAACAACUGGCUGUGAAUUUCAACAUCACAGGUGCUUGGAAAGUAGUUCAUGCAGAACUAAUAGUAUGAUGAUUUCAUUUUUUGUAGUCACGUAAGGACAUAGCUUUCCUAAUGAUUGGGCUCAAAUGUGCGUGCCAGUAACUCAUGAUGACUUGGCAACUUAUGUUUCCCUGUAAAUAUUGAGUAAUUCUUUCAGCAGUCCUUCUCUCCAAUUCCUGACUCUUUUUUAGCAGUUGAAUGAUGCUAAAAUCACUCAAAAUGCAUCACAGGAAGUAUAGCUUGCAGCGGGCAGCUUCUUAUCCUUGUUAUAUGUCACAGAUAAGAAUAGAGACACAUACAUGUUUGUGUGUGUGUGUGUGUGUUGCUUCUCUUCUCGCCACUCCAGUGUUAGACCAUUCCCUUCCAUAUAGUUGGAGAUUCUCUUUCACCUGCUUGACAGUAAUCUGACUAUAGCUGUUUGCUUUAU
RNAcentral lists this long non-coding RNA (4315 nucleotides) under Podarcis lilfordi (Lilford's wall lizard). The record is from RNAcentral. Lineage: Eukaryota; Metazoa; Chordata; Lepidosauria; Squamata; Lacertidae.